This 1436-nucleotide ribosomal RNA is filed under the name uncultured organism. RNAcentral's name for it is "16S ribosomal RNA". It matches the Rfam family "Bacterial small subunit ribosomal RNA". The record is from RNAcentral.
ACGCUGGCGGCAUGCCUUACACAUGCAAGUCGAACGGUAACAGGUCUUCGGAUGCUGACGAGUGGCGAACGGGUGAGUAAUACAUCGGAACGUGCCCAGUAAUGGGGGAUAGCUCGGCGAAAGCCGGAUUAAUACCGCAUACGCCCUGAGGGGGAAAGUGGGGGAUCGCAAGACCUCACGUUAUUGGAGCGGCCGAUGGCUGAUUAGCUAGUUGGUAGGGUAAAGGCCUACCAAGGCGACGAUCAGUAGCUGGUCUGAGAGGACGAUCAGCCACACUGGGACUGAGACACGGCCCAGACUCCUACGGGAGGCAGCAGUGGGGAAUUUUGGACAAUGGGGGAAACCCUGAUCCAGCAAUGCCGCGUGUGCGAAGAAGGCCUUCGGGUUGUAAAGCACUUUUGUCAGGGAAGAAAUCCUUUGGGCUAAUACCCUAGGGGGAUGACGGUACCUGAAGAAUAAGCACCGGCUAACUACGUGCCAGCAGCCGCGGUAAUACGUAGGGUGCAAGCGUUAAUCGGAAUUACUGGACGUAAAGCGUGCGCAGGCGGUUGUGUAAGACAGGUGUGAAAUCCCCGGGCUUAACCUGGGAAUUGCUUUUGUGACUGCACGACUAGAGUGUGUCAGAGGGGGGUGGAAUUCCACGUGUAGCAGUGAAAUGCGUAGAUAUGUGGAGGAACACCAAUGGCGAAGGCAGCCCCCUGGGAUAACACUGACGCUCAUGCACGAAAGCGUGGGGAGCAAACAGGAUUAGAUACCCUGGUAGUCCACGCCCUAAACGAUGUCAACUAGUUGUUGGGGAUUUACUUCCUUGGUAACGUAGCUAACGCGUGAAGUUGACCGCCUGGGGAGUACGGCCGCAAGGUUAAAACUCAAAGGAAUUGACGGGGACCCGCACAAGCGGUGGAUGAUGUGGAUUAAUUCGAUGCAACGCGAAAAACCUUACCUACCCUUGACAUGGCAGGAACUUUCCAGAGAUGGAUUGGUGCUCGAAAGAGAACCUGCACACAGGUGCUGCAUGGCUGUCGUCAGCUCGUGUCGUGAGAUGUUGGGUUAAGUCCCGCAACGAGCGCAACCCUUGUCAUUAGUUGCUACGAAAGGGCACUCUAAUGAGACUGCCGGUGACAAACCGGAGGAAGGUGGGGAUGACGUCAAGUCCUCAUGGCCCUUAUGGGUAGGGCUUCACACGUCAUACAAUGGUCGGUACAGAGGGUUGCCAAGCCGCGAGGUGGAGCCAAUCCCAGAAAACCGAUCGUAGUCCGGAUCGCAGUCUGCAACUCGACUGCGUGAAGUCGGAAUCGCUAGUAAUCGCGGAUCAGAAUGCCGUGGUGAAUACGUUCCCGGGUCUUGUACACACCGCCCGUCACACCAUGGGAGUGGGUUCUACCAGAAGUGGCUAGUCUAACCGCAAGGAGGACGGUCACCACGGUAGGAUUCAU